GGUUCAAUGCCACGUUGUAGAUAGCUCCAUGGCCUUGACCUACAUGCUAUGAUUGAACCAAAAACAAGUUUUUUCACAUCUUGAUAGGAAUCUGUUCAUCUUUUUCUAUAGAUUUACAGAGCUGUUUUGUGUGAUUUUUUUG
This is a non-coding RNA of Cucumis melo (muskmelon), 142 nucleotides long. The record is from Rfam. NCBI's taxonomy places the organism in Eukaryota, Viridiplantae, Streptophyta, Magnoliopsida, Cucurbitales, Cucurbitaceae.